RNAcentral lists this ribosomal RNA (525 nucleotides) under Bifidobacterium longum. RNAcentral's name for it is "bacterial SSU rRNA". It matches the Rfam family "Bacterial small subunit ribosomal RNA", at positions 161 to 701 of the family's 1533-position model. Lineage: Bacteria; Bacillati; Actinomycetota; Actinomycetes; Bifidobacteriales; Bifidobacteriaceae. The record is from RNAcentral.
UGGUAAUGCCGGAUGCUCCAGUUGAUCGCAUGGUCUUCUGGGAAAGCUUUCGCGGUAUGGGAUGGGGUCGCGUCCUAUCAGCUUGACGGCGGGGUAACGGCCCACCGUGGCUUCGACGGGUAGCCGGCCUGAGAGGGCGACCGGCCACAUUGGGACUGAGAUACGGCCCAGACUCCUACGGGAGGCAGCAGUGGGGAAUAUUGCACAAUGGGCGCAAGCCUGAUGCAGCGACGCCGCGUGAGGGAUGGAGGCCUUCGGGUUGUAAACCUCUUUUAUCGGGGAGCAAGCGAGAGUGAGUUUACCCGUUGAAUAAGCACCGGCUAACUACGUGCCAGCAGCCGCGGUAAUACGUAGGGUGCAAGCGUUAUCCGGAAUUAUUGGGCGUAAAGGGCUCGUAGGCGGUUCGUCGCGUCCGGUGUGAAAGUCCAUCGCUUAACGGUGGAUCCGCGCCGGGUACGGGCGGGCUUGAGUGCGGUAGGGGAGACUGGAAUUCCCGGUGUAACGGUGGAAUGUGUAGAUAUCGAA